RNAcentral lists this microRNA (22 nucleotides) under Monodelphis domestica (gray short-tailed opossum). RNAcentral's name for it is "mdo-miR-7256-3p". The record is from miRBase by way of RNAcentral. Lineage: Eukaryota; Metazoa; Chordata; Mammalia; Didelphimorphia; Didelphidae.
UGGGCCAAAGAGAAGAAACGAU